CAAAGGGUAGUUUAUUUUAAAAUACUAGUUUUGGGGACUAGAGAUAGGUUUCCUUCCUUUGA
RNAcentral lists this transfer RNA (62 nucleotides) under Rhabdophis tigrinus (Tiger keelback). RNAcentral describes it as "tRNA-Pro". The record is from RNAcentral. Lineage: Eukaryota; Metazoa; Chordata; Lepidosauria; Squamata; Natricidae.